Molecule: non-coding RNA, 2503 nt
Organism: Coturnix japonica (Japanese quail)
Lineage: Eukaryota; Metazoa; Chordata; Aves; Galliformes; Phasianidae
Source: RefSeq, a predicted model, not a curated record
UGUCAUUAAGGUGCAGAGAGCCUGAGCUGCUGUACCCUGUGUGUACCCUGCAGGCAAUGAGGCUAUUGCCCAAGGCUGCCUCUGCAUUUUCUCUCCUUAGUGUUCCAGGAUGCAACAAAGGCCCUGGGUUCCAGAUUGAGACAUGAUACAAUGAUGCAAGGUCCAGAAGAAGAUAACUCGAGUUGGUUGUGAAUUGAGGAUGAAUAUCAUUGAUAAAACGGAGGUCAACAACUGAGCAGCAUCUCGUGGAAAUGAUUUGGAGACAGCUGAGUGUCAGAUCCUGCGGUUCACUCAGCUUAAGACAAUAACCAGGUCUUGGAGUACACUGGCACAGUGCUGUGCCAGCCUGCAGAGAGAGACGGAUCCUCCUUACAAAGAGCCUGGCAUGGGAGGAGAGUCUGAUGUUCCAUCAGGAAAAGUAAAGAAACGAACUCAUUUUUUUACCUCUUCUACUGGUUUUUGUUUCUACGUGGAAAUCUACAUUGAGACAGAAAUGGGAGCAAAUCCUUUCACUGUAAUUAAAGACUGGGCAGACCACAGUAAGGCUGCAGCUCUGGAUUGUGCUCCAUGUUGUGCUGACAUUCGUUUACAAGAAGAUGCCGGUUGUUAAUAGGAAAACAUCAGAAAGCAGAAAGACUGGUGCUUGCUUCAGUUGUUUUUUAAGGUAAAUACUGUAAGUUCUAAGGAUGUGUCUCUUUUUUUGUGGUUAGAAAUGGCUAUUUCAAAAUCUAAAUUGUUAUUUUACCCUUUUCAAUUAGUUGAAACAACCCUUCAGUGCCUUGGAUUUUCUGUCUGUGAAGUGCUAUUUCAUGUCCUUAGAGCAGUUGGGAAGUCCAAGUGCGUUUGCAUGGGAUCCUUCUCUGGUGCUGGUUGAAAUGGGGCCCUGGAGUCCAACUUGCCUGUGCUGAUGCUGUAAGCACAGAUUUGUGAGAUGUGGUGCAGGUGUCUGGUGUAUAACUGAAGGAUCAACUGGGUGUACAGCCCUACUUUUCCUCUGUGACGAGAGGAAUCACGUUUAUCAUAGAAUCAUGUUUGUCAUAUUUUCAGCAGGAGGGUUAACCAGUCACUUUGAAACUAAUUUACUUUUGCUUAAGUCCUUUUCUGUCACAAGGAGAGAUUUACUGUAUUCUAUUACCCAGCCUAUCCCAACCUACAUGUUCCAGGAGUGGCAUAGUCUGUAUUGUUUUGGUAAGCGGUAGCUGUAGAAGGCAAUGUGUGGCUUUGGGACAUGCUUCUCAAAGAGCACGGCCACGUCGUUCUGUAAUAGCUUGGGUACUGUCAGGUGGGAAACUCACUGGGUUCAGAAUAGGAUCGAUGCUAAGAAACACUCAGAAAUGUUUUCAAUAUCAUCCAUCUGAAUGGAGACGGUAAAUUCUGCGCCUUAAAUCUUGAGCAUGUAGAAAACUACUUCUCCUAGGCAAGUGGAAAGAUGGGCCAUGUUUUUUGACUGCAUAGAUGACAGUUAGUUAGUACUAGCAGAGAAUUAUGUGGAUUUCCUGCAUUUUGUCAGGAUGAGCUGGUGAGUUUGGGGUUUGAUUACUGGCAAUUAAAGGUGGAGAGUUGUCUCUCUGACUGUGGUUGGGUGUUCAGUGCUUUUCAGUCAUCUUUUGAAAAUGCUGUCGGGAAUUGGUUUGAGAGGUUUGGAGGACCAUGCAGGUGUUCGGAGGCUGGAGCACACGAUACAGGGUGGUUGUUGGGUGAUCCUGUACGGUCUGGAGGAAAGAAUGUUUGGCCUAUCCCCACUUCUUUCUCACUUCUGGAGGAGGAAGCAAGGGAUGAAGUUGUCCUGCUUGUUGGAUCCAGUUGUCCUGUCUGGGUGCAAUUUCCAUUAUGGCAGAUUUUAAGAAUUCUGUUGGAAAGGGUGCUGGCGUACAGGGCUGGGUCUGAAGUUAGACCAAGACCGCCAGAAGUCCUCUCCAGUAUGAAUUAUUUUGGGACUAAAGGAUUAUAUGCAUUUUGUGAGCUGCACAUCACGUGCGUUGAAAUUAGACAUGUUUUAGUCACUUAACUAAGGUUAGUAAAAUCUUACAGCAGUGUUAUCACAAUUCGUAAUGAAUUCACAUUAUGUAUAAAUAUUUAUAAACAUGCAGUUUCCACAAUGUCGCAUUGAGUUUUCUGGCUAGAAACAAAAGCUUUAAGAGCUCCUUUGUUCCUACUUACCAAGGCGCUCUUGGCUCAAUAGCAAAACCUGCCCGUCGAGUGCCCAUCUGUAUUUGUUGUGUUCUCCUGAAGUGCUAAUCCUGUUUAUCCUCUUGCCAUAGGCUUGCUAUUUCUUUUUAUUUGCCAAUUACUGCUAGGCUUGAUUAUUCCCUUCAAGCACUGGCAAAACAUGCUGAAAGCAUGACACAGGCGUGGCAAAAUUUGGUUAAAUGGAUUUAUCGAGGAUGUGCCUGGGAGCCCAGGACACGGCGCUGAAGAUGCUGAUGCUGAGAUGUCUGUUCACAACCAUUACUGGAAAUAAAGGGGUGAUUUAGGUGAAUAACGUGGGAAAAUGGCUAUGUAU